AGGACGAACGCUGGCGGCGUGCUUAACACGUGCAAGUCGAGCGGAAAGGCCCUUCGGGGUACUCGAGCGGCGAACGGGUGAGUAACACGUGAGCAACCUGCCCCUGGCUCUGGGAUAGCCUCCGGAAACGGGGAUUAAUACCGGACAUGACCCUUGACCGCAUGGUUGGGGGUGGAAAGUUUUUCGGCCAGGGUGGGGCUCGCGGCCUAUCAGCUUGUUGGGGGGGUGACGGCCCACCAAGGCGACGACGGGUAGCC
This 257-nucleotide ribosomal RNA is filed under the name uncultured bacterium. RNAcentral's name for it is "partial small subunit ribosomal RNA". It matches the Rfam family "Bacterial small subunit ribosomal RNA", at positions 26 to 288 of the family's 1533-position model. The record is from RNAcentral.